This 64-nucleotide transfer RNA is filed under the name Pyrrhocoris tibialis. RNAcentral's name for it is "tRNA-Pro". Lineage: Eukaryota; Metazoa; Arthropoda; Insecta; Hemiptera; Pyrrhocoridae. The record is from RNAcentral.
CAGAAUAUAGUUUAAUUAGAAUUUUAGUUUUGGAGACUAAGGGUAAAUUUUUAUUUUAUUCUGA